GGCCUCUCGCACCUAUAGAUAAGAGGUCCAACCUGCCCAGUGACAUAUAAGUUUAACGGCCGCGGUAUUUUAACCGUGCUAAGGUAGCGUAAUCACUUGUCUUUUAAAUGAAGACCCGUAUGAAAGGUGUCACGAGGGCCCUCCUGUCUCCUAUUUCAUGUCUGUGAAAUUGAUCUGCCCGUGCAGAAGCGGGCAUAACCGCAUAAGACGAGAAGACCCUGUGGAGCUUAAGACCAAUUAACCAAUCGUGCCUAAUAACUUUACAACCUACUGGCUACAAAAAGUAAUCAAGCAUAACGAGCCCGUGGUUAAACUGUCUUCGGUUGGGGCGACCGCGGGGGACAGAAAAGCCCCCAAGAGGAAUCAGGGGGCCAGUUUCAUGCCCCCUAAGAGCCAAGAACCACAAUUCCAAGCAACAGAAAACUCUGACCAAUAAUGACCCAGGCAGCAAGCCUGAUCAACGGACCAAGUUACCCCAGGGAUAACAGCGCAAUCCUUUCCCAGAGCCCAUAUCGCCGAAAGGGUUUACGACCUCGAUGUUGGAUCAGGACAUCCUGGUGGCGAAAAUUCUACCAAGGGUUCGUUUGUUCAACGAUUAAAGUCCU
Molecule: ribosomal RNA, 605 nt
Filed under: Myomyrus macrops
Lineage: Eukaryota; Metazoa; Chordata; Actinopteri; Osteoglossiformes; Mormyridae
Description: partial 16S ribosomal RNA
Rfam family: Bacterial large subunit ribosomal RNA
Source: RNAcentral